GUGAAUCAUCAAAUCUUUGAACGCAAAUUGCACUUUCUGGUAUUCCGGAAAGUAUGUCUGUUUGAGGGUCAGUUAAAUUAAAUUCGGUGUUGUUGCUACUCGUAGUGGUGUGUGAUGCAUCGGAAUUGAGUCGUUUUUUAUCUUUGGUCUAAGUGACUUAAAAUUAUGUUCGAUUUUUGUAUGUAUUCAAAUUAUUACUUACGUUCGUAAUAUCAUAUAUUAGGUGCGAUCAUUUAAAUGAUUUUGUGUCUAUAAUUUUUUAUUAUUUGAACUAAAAUCAGGUAAGAAUACCCGCUGAA
This 299-nucleotide unclassified non-coding RNA is filed under the name Glomeraceae sp. Its description in RNAcentral is "partial contains 5.8S ribosomal RNA, internal transcribed spacer 2, and large subunit ribosomal RNA". The stretch from base 1 to 71 matches the Rfam family "5.8S ribosomal RNA", at positions 84 to 154 of the family's 154-position model. Lineage: Eukaryota; Fungi; Glomeromycota; Glomeromycetes; Glomerales; Glomeraceae. The record is from RNAcentral.